GACGAACGCUGGCGGCGUGCUUAACACAUGCAAGUCGAACGGAAAGGCCCUGCUUUUGUGGGGUGCUCGAGUGGCGAACGGGUGAGUAACACGUGAGUAACCUGCCCUUGACUUUGGGAUAACUUCAGGAAACUGGGGCUAAUACCGGAUAGGAGCUCCUGCUGCAUGGUGGGGGUUGGAAAGUUUCGGCGGUUGGGGAUGGACUCGCGGCUUAUCAGCUUGUUGGUGGGGUAGUGGCUUACCAAGGCUUUGACGGGUAGCCGGCCUGGGAGGGUGACCGGCUACAUUGGGCCUGAGGUAGGGCCCAGACUCCUACGGGAGGCAGCAGUGGGGAAUAUUGCACAGUGGGCGGAAGCCUGAUGCAGCAACGCCGCGUGCGGGAUGACGGCCUUCGGGUUGUAAACCGCUUUCGCCUGUGACGAAGCGUGAGUGACGGUAAUGGGUAAAGAAGCACCGGCUAACUACGUG
Molecule: ribosomal RNA, 468 nt
Filed under: uncultured bacterium
Lineage: Bacteria
Description: partial 16S ribosomal RNA
Rfam family: Bacterial small subunit ribosomal RNA
Source: RNAcentral